CUACGUAGGGUGCAAGCGUUAAUCGGAAUUACUGGGCGUAAAGCGUGCGCAGGCGGUUUUGUAAGACAGUGGUGAAAACCCCGGGCUCAACCUGGGAACUGCCAUUGUGACUGCAAGGCUGGAGUGCGGCAGAGGGGGGUGGAAUUCCGCGUGUAGCAGUGAAAAGCGUAGAUAUGCGGAGGAACACCGAUGGCGAAGGCAAUCCCCUGGGCCUGCACUGACGCUCACGCACGAAAGCGUGGGGAGCAAACAGGAUUAGAUACCCUGGUAGUCCACGCCCUAAACGAUGUCAACUGGUUGUUGGGGAUUUAUUUUCUCAGUAACGAAGCUAACGCGUGAAGUUGACCGCCUGGGGAGUACGGCCGCAAGGUUAAAACUCAAAGGAAUUGACGGGG
Molecule: ribosomal RNA, 395 nt
Filed under: uncultured bacterium
Lineage: Bacteria
Description: partial 16S ribosomal RNA
Rfam family: Bacterial small subunit ribosomal RNA
Source: RNAcentral